Triticum aestivum (bread wheat) is the source of this 872-nucleotide long non-coding RNA. RefSeq lists it as uncharacterized. The transcript has 3 exons. Lineage: Eukaryota; Viridiplantae; Streptophyta; Magnoliopsida; Poales; Poaceae. The record is from RefSeq and is a predicted model, not a curated record.
UCACUAUAUUGGUAGGAAGUUGGCAUCUAAUACUAACACCAUGAAUUAUGCAUUUUCCUCGGCCAUAGGCAACACCUUUACAUUUAUGGUGGAGCUCGCAGUCCAUGGGGAUAUCUUUGUCAUAUUCAUAUAUUUCAAACUCCUCAUGGGGACAGAAAUUCCACCAUAAUGCACUUGUACAUAUGGUUGGAUAUUGGAAGAUCCACUCCGAUGCGGUCAUCUAGAAGACACGAUGUGUCAAUAUAUGGUAGGAAUUUGGCAUCCAAUACAAACACAAGGAAUUAAGUGUUUUCCUGGGCCACAGACAACACUGUGUAUAUUUAUAGUGGAGCUAGAAGUCCAUGGGGAUCUCUUCAUCAAAAUCAUAUAUUUUCGGCCCAUAAACUCCUCACGGCGAGAGAAAUUCCACUACAAUUCUCCGGUGAAGUUGUGGAAGCGUCGCCGCUAGCCUUCGAUCCAGCGGCGCCAGCUGACCCCGUGGUGCCAGAUCCAUUGUCUCUCGCGUCGGUAGUGGCUUUGAUGGUGCAAGCUGACCCUAUGGUGGUGGCAGCGCUGUCAGCGAACCAAGACGUGGUUUCAGGGUUUCUAGUACCUGUGGAGGCAUCCCUGUAGUUUACUACUGCCCUUUCUCCGUCGGCAACAUGACUUCAAGAUCGAUGCAAUAAAGUUAUUCGCCGGUGGCUAAAGAGAUGGGGAGGGUUCUUGGAAAUGUUACUUUGGGAAAUUUUGUUUCUUGUUGUGAGCGUCGUCUAGUGAUCGUGUUUCUUUUCUGUAUUUCAUCGUUGUUGUAGCAGUUGGGGGAGCUAAAUUGUUGCUUUUGAUUUACCUUGUUAUGUUGAAUGGCAGCGAUUUUCUAUGUAAGACUUUGGAAG